GUGGAGCUGCAGAGUGCAAAGCUGAAGCAAUUAAGAAAGUUAGUGAGAAGAGAGAGAGAGAAAGAGAGAGAGGGGAAAGAGAAAGAGAAAGCGCGCACACUCACUGGCUGUUUGCAGAGGUUUUUUUUUUUUUUUUUAAUUUCUUUAUUUUAAGUUUUAUGCCACUCAGCAAAAGUUUGGUAAAAUGCAUCAGGCUAAGUUUGUGCACAAAUAUGAGCACCGUGCAUGUGCUGGCUGAGUGUAAAAAAUGGGAAAGAAGUUUGCGCUUGAUCGCCAGUGAUGUGGAGUUUUCACUGAAGACUUUGGGAUGAAGAGGAGGAUGAAGAGACACAAACUGAUGUGAGGCGCUGGGUUGAGACAGUUUCACCACUUCACUUAAACACAUCUGUUGCGAUGCAGCAUCUGUGAGGAUCGUGACUUCACUGUCAUCGUGAGAUGUGGAGGUUGGUGACCGCAGGCAGAAGAGGAGGGGGUUGCUCUGUGCUGUGGUCUGCAGCUGUUGGUUCCUGGCAGAGUAAAUAGUGAUGUGGAGUUGCUUUGGGAAUAAUUUGGUUAGAUGUUUGACAGGAAAAACAAAUUCAAGAGGUUUGAAGGGGCAGUAAGUCUUUUUUUUUUUUUUUUUAUUGCCACAGUGCCCCAGAUGACUAUAAAACACCUGCAGGAGGUUGAUAGCGCUGUUCAUUUUCCAGGUGCUGUGGUUUCUUUCUGGCUGUUUGGUUUGUGGGCUGUUUUGUAGAAAAGUCCCCACACCCAGUGAAGUCAUGCAGUUGAAAUCACUGCUGGCAGCGAGCAUGGCCAGUAAAAUGCGAGGCGACGAUCACUUGCCCAUCGCAGCCUGGCCUAAUCACCGCUAAAUACACCCAGUGUGGUUCACCAGUUCACAUAAGGACUUUUUCAUGAAGCAUCCUUUAUGAAGUUUGAAACUUUACAAAUGAGUAAGAAUAUGAUGAUGUGAAAGAAAAUGUUCUUUUUUUUUUUUUUUUUUUUGGAGCACAGUGAGGAGUCAACAAUGGUAAAUAAUAGAGCAGGACAACAUAGUGUAUGGAGAAGUAAGUGGAGAUGGUGAAAGAGGGAUUAUUAGAAGAAUCGGUAAGAGUUGAGUGUGAUUGACGGCAGCUACUGACAACACAGUCAGAUAAAGCUUUACGGAUGAUAACUGGACUCAUAUUUUUACUCUAUUUGAGAACUAUGUACCUAAUAUAGACUAUUUCAGACCCAAACCGAUGCUAGAAGCAUUUGAUUUGUGGUCGGUAGAAGGACUUUAAAGUGCCAGCUGUUGGUCGCGCUGGUAAAGUGACUCAGUCCAGGCCAGUGACUCAAAGCCAAAGAAAACCUGAAACACAUGAAGCUGUGAAAACAGGCAACCCGACAUGCACUCAGGUCGCCUCCAUCCCACCACAAACUCUGAAUUAGAUCAGAAAAAUCUGAUAAUUGUAAAAGUCAGAUUGGAUGUUUUUGCAUGCACUUGAGUUUGCUUAUUUGUAAUCAGUAAGAGAAGCUCCAUAUACGUAUACCACCACACCCGUCUACCUCACCUGCGAACUUUGCACAGUGAACUGUUACACCUACCUAUUUAUCCUUUUAUCCUGCUUUUUUAUACAUACAAUACUGUACAUAUUUUUCUGCUUAUAUUUGUGUAUUUGCAUAUAUCUGUAUUUGAAAAGGAGAAACUGUGGGUAAUUUCAUUAUACAUAAUGAAAAUAAAACUUUUCUGAAUCUGAUUUUGUUCCCAAAACAUCUGGCCUUGUCUUGUUGAACUAAUAAGUCAGGAAUACAUGCGAGAAGGCAUUGCUCAUUGAGUCACAUUAUGGCUUUUAAGAUUACGUAUUUAAGAUCUAAUCUGAUUACUCCUAAAACCUGAUAACUACGGGCCUCAUUUAUAAAGAUUGCCUACGUACCAAACGGAGCCUGAAAGAGGUGUACAACACUUCCUAUGCAAAUGUUGGGAUUUUAAAAAAUUAAGUUUAUGUGAGAAUGUGUGCACUGCUACAUUAAUUUAAUUUUUUUUCCUCCCUUCCUUCUAACCUGCCCUGUCCAGCAUCGAAGCUGCAUAAUAAAGGUCUGGCUGCUGUAAUGUGCCCGACAGAUUUGCUCUUCCAUGAGGAGCUUAUAAUUACAAAGCGCUGUUAGUGUGUGUCCUUCGCAAUAUUUUAUAAAUAAGGCCCCAGAUUUUUAGUUAGUGUGUAAAUGGACUCACUAUCUAAGGAUCACUAGCCCUGUUUACAUGGGUCCAAAAACCCUCCUUAUGAUCAGAACAUGAGUUUAAACAGAUUGUAAACGUCUCAUAUAAACACCAAAGUGAAUCCGACUCACUCGGUCCGGAUUAAAUUUCUGAUCAGAUUGUAGGAGGAAAAAUAAUCCACUUGAUGCUUCAUAUAAACAGCUGAAGACGGAGGACCAUGUUAUAUGAGCGGAUUACUCUUUCUGUGCAUGUGAUCCCUGUUAGUCAUGUGGUGACGUGCCCGGAAAACAGUAAGCAGGAGGCAGUAAAGUCGAACCGGGCGGCGGUGGCGGCCUGCUGCCGGGCGGCAUAUCACAGAGUUGGUAGGAAGGUUGUUUGAGCAGAUAUCCAGCGGAUAAAAACUCACCUGUAGGCGCUGAAGACUACUGACUACAAAGCUAAAGAUCAGAACCUGAUAGGGAAUGACGAAGAUAGCGUAUCAUCGGCUUCAGCUGUGGCCCAUGUAUAGCAGGACUGAACAUGGAUGAUUUAUUUAGCAUUCAUGUGUACAGAUACUUUUAAUCCCACUGUUUUUAAUUCGGUUGAAAGAAAAGCACCCAUGUAAACGGAGCCGUUGUGAGUCAUCAUUGCUUUACUAUGAAAAUCUGGCACGUUGGGAAGAAAAUGAAUACUUAGAAAUGGCUGCUAUCGGGUUGCUGAAGAAGUUUGAUCAUCAAUGUUGUUUUUCCAAAUUCAUUAAACCUUUGAACAGCUCGAACAAGACUUCAGUCAAAGAUCAGAGCAAUUUAAAAAAGUGAAUUCAAGGCAGACUACAUGAACUAGCUUUUCCUGUGUGCCACAUUCAUUUAACCUGUAUUUGAACAGUUGAAAUCUCUGUAAAAUAAUAAAAACAACUCUCAAUCAGUUUGUCUGAGCUGCAGAACACAGAUCCAAGAUUUGUUUAAUCUUCAUCUCAUCAGAGCUUCAACUAAUCAUUUUUGUUGGUAUUUAUUUUCAUUGGCAAUAAUUUAAUCAAUUAGAUGUCAGAUUACAGGGAAAGUUUACAUAACAAACAGGAAUUUUACAACAGUCUAACACUCGGAAAUUUACCUUGGAAUUAUACAAUUAAAUUCACAACAAAGUGUACCGUUCCGGCACAGUGCAGUGGAAAUGAGGCUUUAAACAACUGGAACCAGAAUCAUCCACUUCAUCAUGUCAGUCUUAACAAAAUGUGCUUUAUUGUGGAGAAAUGACACACACCAACCAUUUUUUCCAGAAAGUCUUAUUUCCAGAUCCAUCGAUAGAGCAUAGCCUUCUUUUGGAAAGUAAAAAAUCAAGUGUAAUUGAACACUUGUGAUUUGGUUUCAUAGCUGAUAGCUGAACUUGUGGCUGCAUGAGACUGCUGAGUAAUGUUGCAGUGAAACUCAACAUGUUGUCAAUAACAGACUGCGUGAGUUUCAUCACCCUCGGGCUAUUGUCACACAUUAAGCCUCAGUUUUUUAACUUCAUAAUGUGGUGAGCUCACGCAUUUUUCACGAGCAAUUCACUUUUCCUAAACAGAUUCCUCCCUGAGGAGAAGCGGACUUCCAUUUCCUCUUAGAUUAACUCCAUUUUUCUGACAUUUGUCUCCUCAGUCUGAAAUGAUCAAACGCAUGAGAACAAUAGGAGCUUUUAGUGUGUGUUAGGAACACUUGAACAUAAUGCAGCCCAGCUCAACAUUACUACAAACUGCAGUCUCAUCAUGUGAAUAAGUAUAAUCUGAAUUUCAUUAGAAUUAAAUUUGUUCAUCUAGAACUUAGAACAGAGAUAUACCAGAUCAUGAAAAAAUUGAUAUAAUGAAUGAUCGUGCCAUCUAAAGCAUUACAAUGUAGCAUUUUGGGGAAUUUUGAUUGAUUUGGAUCAUUUGAUCUGAUAUAGUUUGAUCCCUGCUGCUGUCACGGUCACUGCUGACCUUCGUUUGGGACUUUAUCCUUCUUAAUGUUCAGCCUGUAGUUUAACCCUCAUGAGCUUUACUUAUCACGGAAAGUAAGAGCUUUGCUCUCAGUGUUGCUGCAGUUAAAAGGAGCAUGCAUUUGUGGAAUGACCAGCAGAGCGGCACAUCCAUGUGUCAAAUACUAAUUGAAGGAGCAAUGUGUGUGCAGGCUGGACAUCGUGAAGAGACCACUGAUGAUAUGGUUCUUCAGACUCAACCCAGUCGAUACAAGAAACUAGAGUUAAUAGAAAAAUAUUUUGAGAACUUUUCUCAGGUUGAACUUAUAAACUCGCCUCACUGCUCAUCCCUCAAAUGCAUGCUUCUUAUGACGGUAGCGUCACUGAAAGCACAUAACCAACCACUUAUUAUCAAGAAGCACAGUCGCAUCAAAUAAAUAACAUACCAAGCUCAGAUUUCCCUACAUUUGUGCUGUUUAUGAAACCUUAUUAUUAAAAAAAGUAAGAACUUCAUAUGGAAAGUAUAAGCAUUGAAAACUGAUAUUUCCUCCUGAGUUGAGUUAGAAUUAAAAAAGAAAAAAAAUACACUCCACAAAGUAGAAGUAAAAAUACAGUUUUCAAAGGCCGUGAGUGACUGAUCGCUGUGUGACGAGGAAGUGUCUCUGUUCUCCAGGAAUACAAUGUCAAGUGUCUGUUAUCAGCCAGGCAGAGACAGACUUCAAAAGUGAGACGUAAGGAAGUCAGGCAGCUGAAAGAGAGCGUGUGAACUAGGAAGAGAGGGACAAAUAGCAAACAGUGAGGAGUGCGUGUGAAAGAAGAGCAGGACAGAGUGAGUCAGAGUGAGAGAGUGAAAGAGGGGGAGAGAGGGAGGCGAGGGAGGGAGGGCAGAUAUAUUUGGGCGCCUAUAAAGCUGAGCGUGCUUCUUCUUUUUUGUCUUCAGCAGAAAUGAACCCUGCCUGUAAGAAAUGACAAUACAUCAAUAAAACCUCUCAAACUAAGGAAGCUGUCUGCUGUGUUUGUUGGUAUGCCUGGAAAAAAAGCUGCAGUUUCUAAAAAUGACAAGCAGGAACACAUAAAGACUGAGGUAUGCACUAAAUAAAUCAGGCAUCGUUUGUCCCUAUUUUAUUAAGCGACGACGUUUUAAUUGAGUACAUUUAUUUCCAUCAAACAGGAAAACUGGUUCAUUUUUAAUGUCUGUGACUGACAAAGUGUAGUUUUACUAUCCAGCGAUGCUGAUAAUCAGCUACACUUACACUAGAGUUACACACUUCCACUGUGAAAUAUGCUAAAAAACACUGAAAAAAUAUGUCGCAACACCUCUCACUGGAAUUUUGCUUUUGCUGGUUUUUGUUGGUUUAGCGUCUCGGCCUCGCGUCUUGCUGCGGACGUGUGACUGAGGAUGUGUCACCACGCCCUGCAGAGGUGCAUCGCGCCUCAAACCAGUGGGGCUGACGGGCUGUUUAACGUCGCGUUACAGAGAUCGCCCGACAUUUCACCUGAAUAUCUUUCAUGAAAGAAAAAGACGCCAGCCUCCUGACGAGCUGGGGGGGGG
Salarias fasciatus (jewelled blenny) is the source of this 5642-nucleotide long non-coding RNA. RefSeq lists it as uncharacterized. NCBI's taxonomy places the organism in Eukaryota, Metazoa, Chordata, Actinopteri, Blenniiformes, Blenniidae. The record is from RefSeq and is a predicted model, not a curated record. The transcript has 4 exons.